UUUGCCUACGGGACGCAGCAGUGGGGGAUAUUGCACAAUGGGGGAAACCCUGAUGCAGCGACGCCGCGUGGGUGAAGAAGCGCCUCGGCACGUAAAGCCCUGUCAGCAGGGAAGAAAAUGACGGUACCUGAAGAAGAAGCCCCGGCUAACUACGUGCCAGCAGCCGCGGUAAUACGUAGGGGGCAAGCGUUAUCCGGAUUUAUUGGGUUUAAAGGGUGCGCAGGCGGCACGGCAAGCCGGCGGUCAAAUCGCGGGGCUCAACCCCGCCCAGCCGUCGGAACUGCCGGGCU
RNAcentral lists this ribosomal RNA (290 nucleotides) under uncultured bacterium. RNAcentral's name for it is "partial 16S ribosomal RNA". It matches the Rfam family "Bacterial small subunit ribosomal RNA", at positions 334 to 642 of the family's 1533-position model. The record is from RNAcentral.